AAAGAGAGAUUUUAGGUUAGAAGCUCACACUCUAAUAUGGUAUCAGAGCCCGAUCCGCACAUACUCAACCCGAUCCACAUCGGUCCGGCCCAAUACUUGCCCCGUCGAUCCAUGCCCAAACAUAUCGAGAUCAAUGGCUAGAAGAGCCAUCAUCUCGAGGGGGCGUAUUAGGGACAAUGUCCCACAUCGGAAGUUGAGUAGGAUCUUAAGUGGUAUAUAUAAGAUAUGAGUCUCUCCACCUAUUGCCAAUUGAUUUUAGGUUGGAACCCCACACUCUAAUACUUAUGUGUCAAACACACAAUUAUUAUCAUCAUU
RNAcentral lists this small RNA (315 nucleotides) under Arabidopsis thaliana (thale cress). RNAcentral's name for it is "ATSL293050". Lineage: Eukaryota; Viridiplantae; Streptophyta; Magnoliopsida; Brassicales; Brassicaceae. The record is from RNAcentral.